GGGUUGUGAGGUUAAGCGACUAAGCGUACACGGUGGAUGCCCUGGCAGUCAGAGGCGAUGAAGGACGUGCUAAUCUGCGAAAAGCGCCGGCGAGGUGAUAUGAACCUUUGACCCGGCGAUGUCCGAAUGGGGAAACCCAGUGUGAUUCGUCACACUAUCGUUAACUGAAUACAUAGGUUAACGAGGCGAACCGGGGGAACUGAAACAUCUAAGUACCCCGAGGAAAAGAAAUCAACCGAGAUUCCCCCAGUAGCGGCGAGCGAACGGGGAGCAGCCCAGAGUCUGAAUCAGCUUGUGUGUUAGUGGAAGCGUCUGGAAAGUCGCACGGUACAGGGUGACAGUCCCGUACACGAAAGCACACAGGUUGUGAACUCGAAGAGUAGGGCGGGACACGUGGUAUCCUGUCUGAAUAUGGGGGGACCAUCCUCCAAGGCUAAAUACUCCUGACUGACCGAUAGUGAACCAGUACCGUGAGGGAAAGGCGAAAAGAACCCCGGCGAGGGGAGUGAAAAAGAACCUGAAACCGUGUACGUACAAGCAGUGGGAGCACCUUCGUGGUGUGACUGCGUACCUUUUGUAUAAUGGGUCAGCGACUUAUAUUCUGUAGCAAGGUUAACCGUAUAGGGGAGCCGAAGGGAAACCGAGUCUUAACUGGGCGUUAAGUUGCAGGGUAUAGACCCGAAACCCGGUGAUCUAGCCAUGGGCAGGUUGAAGGUUGGGUAACACUAACUGGAGGACCGAACCGACUAAUGUUGAAAAAUUAGCGGAUGACUUGUGGCUGGGGGUGAAAGGCCAAUCAAACCGGGAGAUAGCUGGUUCUCCCCGAAAGCUAUUUAGGUAGCGCCUCGUGAAUUCAUCUUCGGGGGUAGAGCACUGUUUCGGCUAGGGGGCCAUCCCGGCUUACCAACCCGAUGCAAACUACGAAUACCGAAGAAUGUUAUCACGGGAGACACACGGCGGGUGCUAACGUCCGUCGUGAAGAGGGAAACAACCCAGACCGCCAGCUAAGGUCCCAAAGUCAUGGUUAAGUGGGAAACGAUGUGGGAAGGCACAGACAGCCAGGAUGUUGGCUUAGAAGCAGCCAUCAUUUAAAGAAAGCGUAAUAGCUCACUGGUCGAGUCGGCCUGCGCGGAAGAUGUAACGGGGCUAAACCAUGCACCGAAGCUGCGGCAGCGACACUAUGUGUUGUUGGGUAGGGGAGCGUUCUGUAAGCCGUUGAAGGUGUGCUGUGAGGCAUGCUGGAGGUAUCAGAAGUGCGAAUGCUGACAUAAGUAACGAUAAAGCGGGUGAAAAGCCCGCUCGCCGGAAGACCAAGGGUUCCUGUCCAACGUUAAUCGGGGCAGGGUGAGUCGACCCCUAAGGCGAGGCCGAAAGGCGUAGUCGAUGGGAAACAGGUUAAUAUUCCUGUACUUGGUGUUACUGCGAAGGGGGGACGGAGAAGGCUAUGUUAGCCGGGCGACGGUUGUCCCGGUUUAAGCAUGUAGGCGGAACGAUUAGGUAAAUCCGGUCGUUUAUUAACGCUGAGGUGUGAUGACGAGGCACUACGGUGCUGAAGUAACAAAUGCCCUGCUUCCAGGAAAAGCCUCUAAGCAUCAGGUAACAUCAAAUCGUACCCCAAACCGACACAGGUGGUCAGGUAGAGAAUACCAAGGCGCUUGAGAGAACUCGGGUGAAGGAACUAGGCAAAAUGGUGCCGUAACUUCGGGAGAAGGCACGCUGAUAUGUAGGUGAAGCCCCUGCGGGUGGAGCUGAAAUCAGUCGAAGAUACCAGCUGGCUGCAACUGUUUAUUAAAAACACAGCACUGUGCAAACACGAAAGUGGACGUAUACGGUGUGACGCCUGCCCGGUGCCGGAAGGUUAAUUGAUGGGGUUAGCGGUAACGCGAAGCUCUUGAUCGAAGCCCCGGUAAACGGCGGCCGUAACUAUAACGGUCCUAAGGUAGCGAAAUUCCUUGUCGGGUAAGUUCCGACCUGCACGAAUGGCGUAAUGAUGGCCAGGCUGUCUCCACCCGAGACUCAGUGAAAUUGAACUCGCUGUGAAGAUGCAGUGUACCCGCGGCAAGACGGAAAGACCCCGUGAACCUUUACUAUAGCUUGACACUGAACACUGGUCCUUGAUGUGUAGGAUAGGUGGGAGGCUUUGAAGCGUGGACGCCAGUCUGCGUGGAGCCGCCCUUGAAAUACCACCCUUUAAUGGCUGGUGUUCUAACGUAGACCCGUAAUCCGGGUUGCGGACAGUGUCUGGUGGGUAGUUUGACUGGGGCGGUCUCCUCCCAAAGAGUAACGGAGGAGCACGAAGGUUAGCUAAUCCUGGUCGGACAUCAGGAGGUUAGUGCAAUGGCAUAAGCUAGCUUGACUGCGAGAGUGACGGCUCGAGCAGGUGCGAAAGCAGGUCAUAGUGAUCCGGUGGUUCUGAAUGGAAGGGCCAUCGCUCAACGGAUAAAAGGUACUCCGGGGAUAACAGGCUGAUACCGCCCAAGAGUUCAUAUCGACGGCGGUGUUUGGCACCUCGAUGUCGGCUCAUCACAUCCUGGGGCUGAAGUAGGUCCCAAGGGUAUGGCUGUUCGCCAUUUAAAGUGGUACGCGAGCUGGGUUUAGAACGUCGUGAGACAGUUCGGUCCCUAUCUGCCGUGGGCGCUGGAGAAUUGAGGGGGGCUGCUCCUAGUACGAGAGGACCGGAGUGGACGCAUCACUGGUGUUCGGGUUGUCAUGCCAAUGGCACUGCCCGGUAGCUAAAUGCGGAAAAGAUAAGUGCUGAAAGCAUCUAAGCACGAAACUUGCCCCGAGAUGAGUUCUCCCUGACCCUUUAAGGGUCCUGAAGGAACGUUGAAGACUACGACGUUGAUAGGUCGGGUGUGUAAGCGCAGCGAUGCGUUGAGCUAACCGAUACUAAUGAACCGUGAGGCUUAACCUUACAACGCCGAAGGUGUUU
Molecule: ribosomal RNA, 2932 nt
Filed under: Enterobacter cloacae
Lineage: Bacteria; Pseudomonadati; Pseudomonadota; Gammaproteobacteria; Enterobacterales; Enterobacteriaceae
Description: bacterial LSU rRNA
Rfam family: Bacterial large subunit ribosomal RNA
Source: RNAcentral